ACUGCCGAGGAUAACUCGGGAGGAAAGGUGGGGAGUGACGUCAAAUCAUCAUGCCCCCUUAUGAUUUGGGCUACACACGUGCUACAAUGGCGGAUACAAAGGGAAGCGAAAGGGUGACCUGAAGCAAACCCCAUAAAGUCCGUCCCAGUUCGGAUUGAAGUCUGCAACUCGACUUCAUGAAGUUGGAAUCGCUAGUAAUCGCGAAUCAGCAUGUCGCGGUGAAUACGUUCCCGGGCCUU
Molecule: ribosomal RNA, 239 nt
Filed under: uncultured Lachnospiraceae bacterium
Lineage: Bacteria; Bacillati; Bacillota; Clostridia; Lachnospirales; Lachnospiraceae
Description: partial 16S ribosomal RNA
Rfam family: Bacterial small subunit ribosomal RNA
Source: RNAcentral